UACGUAGGGGGCUAGCGUUGUCCGGAAUCAUUGGGCGUAAAGCGCGUGUAGGCGGCCCGGUAAGUCCGCUGUGAAAGUCCAGGGCUCAACCCUGGGAUGCCGGUGGAUACUGUCGAGCUCGAGUCCGGAAGAGGCGAGUGGAAUUCCUGGUGUAGCGGUGAAAUGCGCAGAUAUCAGGAGGAACACCAAUGGCGAAGGCAGCUCGCUGGGACGUGACUGACGCUGAGACGCGAAAGCGUGGGGAGCAAACAGG
RNAcentral lists this ribosomal RNA (253 nucleotides) under uncultured bacterium. RNAcentral's name for it is "partial 16S ribosomal RNA". It matches the Rfam family "Bacterial small subunit ribosomal RNA", at positions 524 to 776 of the family's 1533-position model. The record is from RNAcentral.